RNAcentral lists this unclassified non-coding RNA (245 nucleotides) under Hevea brasiliensis (rubber tree). Lineage: Eukaryota; Viridiplantae; Streptophyta; Magnoliopsida; Malpighiales; Euphorbiaceae. The record is from RNAcentral.
GUCGUCUUUGACGUUUCCCAUUAAAUUGGACGAACCCUAUUGAAUGAUGCAUUUGAACUUUUUAACUAUUACCCUACUUUGGCGUCAAAUGUUCCUCAAUCCUUUUAUCUUGUACAUAGUAAUACAUGUCUUGAAAAUAGCAAAAUAAAGUUGUUGACCCAUCUAGUCAUUCCUCCUUUUGCCAAUAGCUAAUCAAUGUUCUUCAGUCUUCGCUUAUAAAUCUUGAAAAAAGAACACAGAAAGCU